RNAcentral lists this long non-coding RNA (444 nucleotides) under Setaria viridis. RNAcentral describes it as "long non-coding RNA (SVIR_LNC011112)". Lineage: Eukaryota; Viridiplantae; Streptophyta; Magnoliopsida; Poales; Poaceae. The record is from RNAcentral.
UUGCUGUUAGGUAUAAAAUCUAUCUAUUAUUGUAAUACAGUAGUGUUAAAAAAAUCACCAUGUUCAUCGAGAGGGUCUAGAAAUUCCCACGUUAAUCGGAAAAAAGAGGAAAAUAUCCACCGUCGGAUUUUAUGAUGAUCUAACGGUCUAGACUAGCCCAAAAGAGUCCAUAUCAAAUACGAACAUAUUGGUAAAUUUGGAAUAAAAUAUGUGAAAAAAGAUACAUAACAAUUAAACAACUUGAUUUUCUAUCGUAACCGAAAUAAAAUAAAGACCCUCGAGUCCAUCCAAAACCAAUCAAGAUUGAACAUUUGGUUGAAAAAACAAAUUGACAUUAUAUCGCCCUUCUUCUUGACGAGACGACGCCGGUCCUCACCUUCCACAUGCCGCCCCUCACCUUGCAAGCUGCCACCAUGAUUAAUCCCAAGCCCCAAACAUCGUCAC